GAUACGAUAAAAUCCCACGAGAAACUCCUUGGAUCUUCCGAAUCUUGACCAAAGCUACCACCCAGCGCCUCUAAAAUACCGACCCUGCUGAGGCCUCGGCCAAGCUUAUAAAAUGGAAGCUCCGUUACGCUGCCUCGCACGCAUCCCCAAAUAUAUUGUCUAACCUUUUCUGAAAAAAAUAUAUCUGCAUGGACUGCCCAAAACUAUUUAAUCUGUAUUUUUUGGGCAUCGCGUUACAUUUUUCCAUUCCUAACGUUAGGUUGGAUUGACCAUUGCCUGAG
RNAcentral lists this long non-coding RNA (281 nucleotides) under Elaeis guineensis (African oil palm). RNAcentral describes it as "long non-coding RNA (EGUI_LNC018696)". Lineage: Eukaryota; Viridiplantae; Streptophyta; Magnoliopsida; Arecales; Arecaceae. The record is from RNAcentral.